Molecule: ribosomal RNA, 641 nt
Filed under: Blastococcus sp. I12A-02636
Lineage: Bacteria; Bacillati; Actinomycetota; Actinomycetes; Geodermatophilales; Geodermatophilaceae
Description: bacterial SSU rRNA
Rfam family: Bacterial small subunit ribosomal RNA
Source: RNAcentral
GCGAACGGGUGAGUAACACGUGGGCAACCUGCCCUCAGCUCUGGGAUAACUCCAAGAAAUUGGGGCUAAUACCGGAUAUGACUGCUGACCGCAUGGUCUGGUGGUGGAAAGAUUUAUCGGCUGGGGAUGGGCCCGCGGCCUAUCAGCUUGUUGGUGGGGUAGUGGCCUACCAAGGCGACGACGGGUAGCCGGCCUGAGAGGGUGACCGGCCACACUGGGACUGAGACACGGCCCAGACUCCUACGGGAGGCAGCAGUGGGGAAUAUUGCGCAAUGGGCGAAAGCCUGACGCAGCGACGCCGCGUGGGGGAUGACGGCCUUCGGGUUGUAAACCUCUUUCAGCAGGGACGAAGCGGAAGUGACGGUACCUGCAGAAGAAGCACCGGCCAACUACGUGCCAGCAGCCGCGGUAAUACGUAGGGUGCAAGCGUUGUCCGGAAUUAUUGGGCGUAAAGAGCUCGUAGGCGGUUUGUUGCGUCGGCUGUGAAAACCUGAGGCUCAACCUCAGGCCUGCAGUCGAUACGAGCAGACUAGAGUGUUGCAGGGGAGACUGGAAUUCCUGGUGUAGCGGUGAAAUGCGCAGAUAUCAGGAGGAACACCGGUGGCGAAGGCGGGUCUCUGGGCAACAACUGACGCUGAGGA